This is a non-coding RNA of Pelobates cultripes (western spadefoot toad), 584 nucleotides long. Lineage: Eukaryota; Metazoa; Chordata; Amphibia; Anura; Pelobatidae. The record is from the annotation of a GenBank genome assembly.
CAGCCGCCUGCACAGCAGCCAGAGCCGCCCAGCCCGACCGGCAGCCACUGGACCACCAGGGAGAGAGAGACCUCCCCACCCCCCAGCACUCCCAAAGGUAAGGAGGUUGGGAGGGGGAUUUAAAUUUAAAAAAAAAGUUAAUGUGUGUGUGUGUGUCUGACUGUGUGUGUGUGUUUGUUUGUGUCUGACUGUGUGUGUGUCUGACUGUUUGUGUGUGUUUGUGUUUGACUGUGUGUGUGUCUGACUGUUUGUGUCUGGCUGUGUGUGUGUGUGUGUGUCUGACUGUGUGUGUUUGUGUCUGACUGUGUGUGUGUCUGACUGUGUGUGUGUGUUUGUGAGUGUGUGUGUUUGUGUCUGACUGUUUGUGUAUGUGUGUGUGUGUGUGUGUUUGUGUCUGACUGUGUGUGUGUGACUGUGUAUGUGUUUGUGUCUGACUGUGUGUGUGUGUGACUGUGUGUGUGUUUGUGUCUGACUGUGUUUGUGUCUGUGCAUGUGUCUGACUGUGUGUGUGUGUAUGUGUCUGACUGUGUGUGUGUGUGUUUGUGUCUGACUGUGUGUGUGUGUAUUUAGAAGGUGGGGCGGGG